AUAAAGUUAGUUUAAAUUAAAACGGUAGGUUGUGGUUCUAUAAAUAAAUAGUUUGUUUACUUUAUU
RNAcentral lists this transfer RNA (66 nucleotides) under Rhombosepion orbignyanum. Its description in RNAcentral is "tRNA-His". The record is from RNAcentral. Lineage: Eukaryota; Metazoa; Mollusca; Cephalopoda; Sepiida; Sepiidae.